Molecule: non-coding RNA, 110 nt
Filed under: Palpitomonas bilix
Lineage: Eukaryota
Source: RNAcentral
GAGGAAGGUAGGGAGAGAAGAGAGAAGAGGUGGCGAGAUGAGUGACGAGUGACAAACUGCAAGUUUCACCUUUUUCUUUCUUUCUUUCUUUCUUUCUGUCUUUUCCCCUC